Molecule: long non-coding RNA, 1178 nt
Filed under: Ailuropoda melanoleuca (giant panda)
Lineage: Eukaryota; Metazoa; Chordata; Mammalia; Carnivora; Ursidae
Description: lncRNA (ENSAMEG00000029841.1)
Source: RNAcentral
GCAACGCCGCGGCGGCUUCGCACCGCCCCUACCGCCCCUACAUUUAAGUGGGCCCGCGCAGCCCCGCCUCCGUGCGCCCCGCCCUGCGCGCGCCCCUGCGCCUGCGUGCCGGGAAGGUUGCGGCGGGGGGCGGGGUCUCGGCCGCGCGGCAGCGUGGGUUCCUCAGAGCCUGAGGGCUGGGGCUGCAGUCGAGCGCGGGCUGGCAGUAGCUAGCUAAAAUGCCCGCGGGUAGGAAAAGGCAAAGACCCCUCCCUCCCUGUUUAUAAACACUGCUGCUUGCCCCCUGGAGGCCUUAAAUAUCAUCUCCAGGAGAGGGGGUCCAACUACGUACAUCCUCACAAAGUUACACCCUGGUCAGGAAAUGCCUGGAGGCAUCGCAGCGAUGGCAGUCUCCGCAGUGACUGACGUCCAGAAUUCGCCCGUGAGGGUGCAAAGUCACGUACACUACGUUGCAUUUCUCUGCGGGCAGCUCAUUAAAUACCAGCAGAGCCAUCCCCUCCCCCCACCAGUGUCUAAAUGUAUCUCCCUUCUGGAAGAAGCCUGCAUGAACCAGCGGAGCAGGUUUGUGGCGGUGAGGCGCAGCGUGCAGAGCAGAUUUGUAUCGGGGAUUAGCUCACUUGCAGAUGGACAAAUGGGCCACUUGAGUGGCCUCCCCUAUGCCUGCCUGAAGGACAGUCGGUGGUUCUCAGUCAAAGGAGGACACGGAAUCUGACACCCGCCCCUCCGCACAUCCCCGGGUGGAAACAAAGCAAUGCAUGGAGAAAAGAUGCUUUUGUGCCAAAGGAGGUUUCUAGGCAACAACUCAUUUAACUACUUCAGUGUCUGUAAUCAUUCAGCAUUGCUGACCUUUAGAACCUGUCUGAUAAGCUCAUCAGAUUUCUGCAAUGAAAGAGCUGACAUAUGCAGAUGAGACAGAUCAACAUUUGGCUCCUGCCUUACUUUCCAGCCUCAGAGGCCCUCCCUUUGUUUUUUGUCCUACCAUAAGAUUGUCUUGGUGUCCUCUGACUUUGCUAUCUUCGUCUUCUGUCCAUACUGGUCUCUGUGCCUGGAUUCCCUUUUCUGGACCUGACAAUCUCUUCAAGGUAUAGUUCAAGUUUCACUUCCUUUGGGACUUUUUUCUUGCACCACCAUCCCCAACUCCUCCCCACCCCCCUUCCAUCCAUCCGACUAUUCUCAGA